Molecule: non-coding RNA, 27 nt
Filed under: Mus musculus (house mouse)
Lineage: Eukaryota; Metazoa; Chordata; Mammalia; Rodentia; Muridae
Source: RNAcentral
UUAUAAGGGGGACCACUGAUUGAAUGA